AGAGUUUGAUCCUGGCUCAGAUUGAACGCUGGCGGCAUGCCUUACACAUGCAAGUCGAACGGUAACGCGGGGCAACCUGGCGACGAGUGGCGAACGGGUGAGUAAUACAUCGGAACGUGCCCAGUAGUGGGGGAUAGCCCGGCGAAAGCCGGAUUAAUACCGCAUACGACCUAUGGGUGAAAGCGGGGGAUCGCAAGACCUCGCGCUAUUGGAGCGGCCGAUGUCAGAUUAGCUAGUUGGUGGGGUAAAGGCCUACCAAGGCGACGAUCUGUAGCUGGUCUGAGAGGACGACCAGCCACACUGGGACUGAGACACGGCCCAGACUCCUACGGGAGGCAGCAGUGGGGAAUUUUGGACAAUGGGGGCAACCCUGAUCCAGCCAUGCCGCGUGCGGGAAGAAGGCCUUCGGGUUGUAAACCGCUUUUGUCGGGGAAGAAACGGUCUGCGCUAAUACCGCGGACUAAUGACGGUACCCGAAGAAUAAGCACCGGCUAACUACGUGCCAGCAGCCGCGGUAAUACGUAGGGUGCAAGCGUUAAUCGGAAUUACUGGGCGUAAAGCGUGCGCAGGCGGCUUUGCAAGACAGAUGUGAAAUCCCCGGGC
This 603-nucleotide ribosomal RNA is filed under the name uncultured bacterium. RNAcentral describes it as "bacterial SSU rRNA". It matches the Rfam family "Bacterial small subunit ribosomal RNA", at positions 8 to 608 of the family's 1533-position model. The record is from RNAcentral.